GUUCAACACACGCUAGUAACCAAGAAUAAUUGAAUGGCAAACGCGAAUAGCGUACGUCUUUUUGAAACAUAUCGUCCAUAGACCAUCGGGGAUUUAAGAAAAUAUCCGCGAAUGUGUCGAAGUGAAAGAGCACCGGGAAACUAUCAGGAUGUCACGGAAGAUGGCUAUUAAAACAUCAGAGUAGUUACUUCCUUAAGGAAAGUGGGGCACUGGAAUUCAGGAAGACGCCGAAAUGGAGGAGACAACCAUCUGACAACAACACAAAAAUGUCAAGAGAUGAAGGAAACCUGUAUUUUUCAAGUGUGAGCGCAACUUUUGUAUUAAUUAUAUUAUAAUGCAAUA
Anoplophora glabripennis (Asian longhorned beetle) is the source of this 342-nucleotide long non-coding RNA. RefSeq lists it as uncharacterized. The transcript has 3 exons. NCBI's taxonomy places the organism in Eukaryota, Metazoa, Arthropoda, Insecta, Coleoptera, Cerambycidae. The record is from RefSeq and is a predicted model, not a curated record.